Molecule: long non-coding RNA, 3510 nt
Organism: Diceros bicornis minor
Lineage: Eukaryota; Metazoa; Chordata; Mammalia; Perissodactyla; Rhinocerotidae
Exons: 2
Source: RefSeq, a predicted model, not a curated record
GCUGCAGAGAAUCCAGUCACCAAUCUACGCAGGCCCACAAGUUGCCUGAGGGCUUGUUGUUGGGUGGGGCCAGUCUCUAGGGUGGGCUGCCUGCCCUGGCUGAGUUGGAUUAAAUCGGUGCUCUAGCGGGUGGGGCAGACCCUGGGCUUGCAGGCCUCAGGGAGAACUCCAAUGGCGUCUGUGUCAGCACGCCCACACCAGGCCACCACAAUGGCCGCCGCCAAUGUCCCAGUCCCUGGAGAGGUCUCACCCCUCACCGAGAUGCACUCAGGGCCUAUUAGGAACAUGAUGACCUCCAGAAAGAAAAAUGCUGUGUUGGUACCCAUCACAGAUGACAGAAGAAAGAGAUAAUCUGGUGCCUUGAAGUUCAUCGCACCAGAUGAGCGACAUCCCUAAACCCCCUCUUUCCCUGCCCAUUUCCCCUAUGUAACUGCCUCAAGAUUCAUGUAUGACUUCAAGGUGGUUCCUUAGGAGACUAGUCCACCAUCUUCCGAUUGUGCUAGCUAGUCGUAAAUUUUCCUUUCUCAACAGCCGACUCAUUUGCAAUUGAUUGACGCUGGAUUGCAGAGGGCAGAACCGGCCCCUUUUUCCUCAGUUACAAUUUCUGGUGACCCAGAUAGGACCCGCCUCUGCCCAUGGCUAGUUGGCUCCUGGAAGAAUCUUGGGACUCUCCCAGCAGCUGCCGGGACGGUCUUUCUCCUGGGGACUGUCCCCUGAGUUCUGUUGACUGUGCACUGCCUCCAACGCUUCCUGGUGGCUGAAGAAAUGAAACAGGUGCUAGAAUUGUUUGUGUGUCUGUUUGUUUUUGCUUCUGGUAAGUCUACAGACUCAAUCUGAAAUUCAGUAAGUCGCCUUGGGGAUGCCCAUGAACUCUCUUCCCCUCUAUCUGAGGUCCCUUCUGUUCACAGAGGGGCCAUCUGCGUGCACAUUCGGAGUGGGAACAGUUGUAGGAAUUUCUACCCUAAAUCUGGGAACUGGUUCAUGGGUGUCUGUUUCUUUCUGUGUCUGGAUCCAUGUGUCUGUCCAUGUCUGUGUAUUGGAAUGAGGGGAACUCCGUCUGUUCUUAAGCAAAGCCCUCUGGGCCGCCUGUUGUCUAAAUGGGCUGACUUCAGCUAUGAGCCCAUAUCUAAGAAGAAGAUAGUUUUCUUUUGUAACACCACAUGGCCACAAUAUUCCAUAGACUCCAGAGAGAAAGUGGCCAAAAUGGGACAAUUUCAGUUUACCCAAACUGGUAUAUCGGCAUUUGCAGCUGGAAAAAGCUGGCUAUAACAUUAAACAACCAGUGGGGAGCCUAUUUUAAUCUUUUGAGGCUUCUAAAUAUUAUCAGGAACUUUAUUGCCUCUUUAAAAGAAACUAAUUAAAUAAUUAAACAUGCCAGGCUGUGGGAUGCCAGGGGCCCUGCUGGCGAAAUGAAACCAAAGCUGCUCUCUCGGUGAGCUUCCCCACUUCAACUCCCCAGAAAUUCCUGAUCCAAAAUUAAGCAAGUAAAAAUAAAAAUAAGUAAACUUUUGAGAUAAUUUAGAAUUGUAAUGGCCAUUCUGGGAAACCUCUGUUUCAGAUGAGUCUACCUUAAGGGUCACUCUUAAAAGAGGGGACUCACAACCUCUCAUGAUGGGAUGCAAUCUUUAAUUAAUGUACAGAAACUUCUAAAAGACAAAGUUAUUUCAAAAACAGCUUAUUUUGCUAUUUCUUACAGCAAAAGAAAAGAAUCUUUAGUAAAUAUCUUUGGCCGUCUGAGCAGAUCCACCUGCUAGAAAAAUAGUUCGGACCUAACUGUUCUUCUGAAUUUUGUACCUGAGAACUGGUUAAAAUUUUGAGGAUCUCUGUUUGGUUUUGUCUGUCUCUGUGUGUAUUUGUCUGCUGCUGGAUGGUACGGUUUCUAAGGGAACUCUAUUUAAUUGGCUUGGAGUAAACACUUUUAUAAGUUAUUUCUAAAUGUAACAGAAACUAGCCCAGAUGUCUUUCGAGUUAACAUGAUACAAAAUGAUCUUUAGAAGAGAAAAGCUUGAUGAAGUUUGUUGGUUUAAUUGAAAUAAAUAUGUUUUCAAAGUUAUCAACAUUGGAUAUGAUACAGACAUGUUAUCUCUCUUGUAAAAUUUGUCCCAAAAGUAAUAACAGAAUAAUAUCAGUUUCUGUCUGAUGUCUCGUGAGGUUUUUGUAGACAAUCUAAUUAUAAUUAUUAAGGACAGGUAAACUAAAUAGAUACGUAAAAGAUAAAAUUGUCUUAAAUAUUAGCCUCUCUUUGUUUGCCUUUAAGAUCUGUGGUUGUCGCCUUGUUUAAAUGGAUAACUAAACGUUGCAUCAUGGAAUCUAUGAUAUUAUGUUGGUAAAUGUUAUCAAUAUAGCUAUGUCUUUUAAAAUUGUAUACCAUUACUAAAACUCUGAUCGGUCCUGGUUAAUGGUCAUAAUUCUGAUUAUUAUUUUAAAAUGUUGUAUGUCACAGAAUUAACCAAAUUUCUUUGUCAAUUGCCAUUUUGGGGUCUUGUAUACACAGUUGUAUUACUUUAAUGCUUUUACAAAAUAUAUUUCCUCUUCAGAGACUCAUAGAAAGGACUCUGACACUCUAGAGUACUGGUUCCUGAUAAACUUUCAGAGCGUAAAACUAAACUGGGUAAGAAAUUAAAAAACUCUAACUAAGAAACGGAUGACUUCGUAAAACUGCUAACCGAAGAUUAAGAUCAAGAAUCAAUUACACAGGACUGAAUGAACUGAUGGGGAUGAUUAUAGUUUUUAUAAUUUUUGUUUAAAAUAUUGCUGAUUUUUUAAUGUUUUGUAUUUUCAGGUUUAAGGAAAUCUUUCUCUCUUUCUCUUAAAAAACUAUGACUUAUACCUUUGUAAGCAAAAUUGAAACAUUUAUCUUUCCCCUGAACUGAUCCCUCCAGGAUUUGAAAUCUCUUAGAAAGUGAGUAUUGCUUUCAUGGCAAUAUAGUUGUUUAUAUAAGUUCAAAAAGAAUCUGUUCUCCUUAUAGCAGGACACGAUUGGAAAGACUGGUUAUAUUACCAAGGCUUUGACUGGAACAUCAUACUUGAGAAAAAAAAAUACAUAAACUCGGAUAUGACCAGCCAGCUCUUGAGGAAUGAAGAUUGGACUUUAUGGAAUAAAGCCACUUGGAAGUGUUGGCCUGGUACCUUGUUUACAGCAUUCCCAAGCAGCAACCUUAUGGAUAAGUAAGGAAGGUCACUUAUGUGGCAGGUGCCUGGAACCUCAAUAUUUUGGGGACCUCGAGAAGAGAGGAAUUCACCCAAAUCUGUAGGUAUUGCAGGCAAAAUCUGAUGACAAGUCCUUGACUUGGCUUUGCUGGCCUCGAAAGGCCUCUAAAGUUCAAUCUGAGAUUCCUUAUAGAAAGUUCCAGCAGAGCAGAUUUCAAAGAGUCUAUAUGAUCAAUUGCUGUUCUUAUGUAAAUAAUUGGGACAAGUUUAUUGAAACUAGAUCCUUGGUAAAAAUGAGGGUGAUUUUAGGGAGAAAAAUUAUGUUUCAAUAAAAACUAUGAUACACAUUUGUGGAUACUG